CAGCCCUUACCAUUUUUGUAAAGGAAAGAAGAAAUAUUUAUUUUCAAUCUAUUCAGCUACUUGUUUUCCUGGUGUGUUCAAUCCUCUCUGUUCUUUCAUGUUUCAGCACAGGAGAAAUGGUGUCUCUUCCCCUGCCCCAAACUUACAACGCCAAACCCAGAGAAAAUGUUGUAUAAACCAGGAAACGCUGAUUUAGGAAAGGAGAGGAUGGGAGAGCUGAAUCUGGGGGAUGUGCUGCAGGGACAGAUAGCAAGGUGCAGCUGGAGGGAAACAAGUGGGAUUGCUCUAAACCUCUGGGGCUGGAAACCUGCUGGAAAACCUACAGGACCGCCAGCCUU
Long non-coding RNA from Tyto alba (common barn owl), 338 nucleotides. RefSeq lists it as uncharacterized. Lineage: Eukaryota; Metazoa; Chordata; Aves; Strigiformes; Tytonidae. The record is from RefSeq and is a predicted model, not a curated record. The transcript is spliced from 3 exons.